This 650-nucleotide ribosomal RNA is filed under the name uncultured bacterium. Its description in RNAcentral is "partial 16S ribosomal RNA". It matches the Rfam family "Bacterial small subunit ribosomal RNA", at positions 371 to 1013 of the family's 1533-position model. The record is from RNAcentral.
ACAGGGGGAAACCUGAUGCUUCACGCCGCGUGAGUGAAGAAGGCCCUUGGGUUGUAAAGCUCUUUANCGAGGGAAGAGGCUUACUAACCUAAUACGUUAGUUAGGUGACGGUACCUCGAGAAUAAGCACCGGCUAAUUUCGUGCCAGCAGCCGCGGUAAUACGAAAGGUGCAAGCGUUACUCGGAAUCACUGGGCGUAAAGCGCUCGUAGGCGGAUUAGUAUGUCAAUUGUGAAAGCCCAGAGCUCAACUCUGGAAUCGCAGUUGAAACUGCUUUUCUUGAAUACCUGAGAGGGUGGGGGAAUACCUAGUGGAGAAGUGAAAUUCGUAGAGAUUAGGUGGAACACCGGAGGCGAAGGCGCCUGCCUGGCAGUGUAUUGACGCUGAGGAGCGAAAGUGUGGGGAGCAAACAGGAUUAGAUACCCUGGUAGUCCACACCGUAAACGAUGGAUACUAGGUGUUCGGAGAGUUAACCCUCUGAGUACCAAAGUUCACACAUUAAGUAUCCCGCCUGGGAAGUACGGUCGCAAGACUAAAACUCAAAGGAAUUGACGGGGGCCCGCACAAGAGGUGGAGUAUGUGGUUUAAUUCGAAGCAACGCGCAGAACCUUACCUGGCCUUGACAUCGUGAGACCGGUGCCGAGAUGUCCUU